UCGACUUGCAUGUGUUAAGCAUAACGCUUAAUGAUUGAUCUACCAGAUGCUGCAACCUAUAUUUUAGAAUCAUACAUAUGAGCUUCUCAAGUAAGCUUUAAUCACUUUCUUUCUAUAUGUAAAUAGUUAUUUAGAACCAUCCUUAUCCAUAUCUUAUUUCCGAAUGAAGAUAAGCAGAUAUCCGGUCUUACCUAGUACUCUCGCAUAUCGGUUGCACUCAACGAUCAAUGUAACUCUUACUUAUUUAUUUUCUUAGGAAAAUACCCCAUUCCGAGCACCCCCUCUACCCACUUCCCCGCAUGGUGAAUCGGACUCUGUUAUAUACGCAAUUCAUUCCAUCGAUCUGUAAGCAAUUUCGCUACUUCGAAAAAUCGCUUUUGCACUUGACAAAAAUGCCCCUCUUCUCCCCUACUCCCCUCUCUUGCUUUCCUCGCCUUCUCCCAUCCCAAUUAUGCCAGCCUAUUUUCUCGUUAAUAAUGUUACAAGCAACAACGAGCAAACGAAAUACGAGAUUAUGCUAGCAGAAAAGCUCAAACCAAAAGCAAUAGACUUUUUCGAAUGUAUACUCGUUUGAGCCGCCGAAUGGCCCAGGAAAAAGCGAAAAAUAAGGAAUUGCGCCGGACAAUUAUGGAGCGGCUGUUUGGAGAAGACUCGGAGGACUGAAACGCGGAAACUUGACUUGGUCUUAAAUCACGAACAUGGGAAGAGAGAUUGGAUUUCAUCGAUGAAGAAUGGCUUUCACCGCGGAAGGACAAACUGCGGUACGGAGAGACCGCUACAGCUCGGGUGGGGUAUUCACUAUGCAUAGGACACUAAUAAGGUAAAAAGAAAGGAUCCGGGUUGACGGAAGAUGAUUUUUACAGGUACCAUUUACCACGUAAGGAAAACCUGUGGUUCGAAUCCGCAGCGUGGUUAGCCAACGAAAGGUUACACCAGCAGAUAGAAUGCUACUUCUUUCUGGUCUUACCACUUACCCAUUACUUAGAUUAUUGACUUCACAAAGCGGGAAGGACAUCAAUCAACAUCAUUUCUCGGGCAGUUGAUUGACUAGUUCCUGCAUCUCGGAGUUGAGGAAGCUAGCCCCGACUAUCUACUUAGUCUUUCUUCUUAGGACUCUGGG
Molecule: unclassified non-coding RNA, 1120 nt
Filed under: Hevea brasiliensis (rubber tree)
Lineage: Eukaryota; Viridiplantae; Streptophyta; Magnoliopsida; Malpighiales; Euphorbiaceae
Source: RNAcentral